This 509-nucleotide ribosomal RNA is filed under the name uncultured Chloroflexota bacterium. RNAcentral describes it as "bacterial SSU rRNA". It matches the Rfam family "Bacterial small subunit ribosomal RNA", at positions 373 to 896 of the family's 1533-position model. Lineage: Bacteria; Bacillati; Chloroflexota. The record is from RNAcentral.
GGGCGAAAGCCUGAAGCAGCAACGCCGCGUGUGUGAUGAAGGCCUUCGGGUCGUAAAGCACUUUUUCUGGGAGAUGAGAAAGGACAGUAUCCCAGGAAUAAGUCUCGGCUAACUACGUGCCAGCAGCCGCGGUAAAACGUAGGAGGCAAGCGUUAUCCGGAUUCACUGGGCGUAAAGCGCGUGCAGGCGGUGUGGUAAGUUGGGCGUGAAAGCUCCCGGCUCAACUGGGAGAGGUCGUCCAAUACUACCGUACUUGAGAGCAGAAGAGGAAGAUGGAAUUCCCGGUGUAGUGGUGAAAUGCGUAGAUAUCGGGAGGAACACCAGUGGCGAAGGCGGUCUUCUGGUCUGUUUCUGACGCUCAGACGCGACAGCUAGGGUAGUAAACGGGAUUAGAGACCCCGGUAAUCCUAGCCGUAAACGAUGUGAACUUGGCGUUGGUGGGUUAAACUCCAUCAGUGCCGUAGCAAACGCGAUAAGUUCACCGCCUGGGGACUACGGCCGCAAGGUUA